RNAcentral lists this ribosomal RNA (2867 nucleotides) under microbial mat metagenome. RNAcentral describes it as "bacterial LSU rRNA". It matches the Rfam family "Bacterial large subunit ribosomal RNA". The record is from RNAcentral.
AGGGCAUACGGUGGAUGCCUUGGCGCAUUGCGGCGAUGAAGGACGUGGUCACCUGCGAAAAGCCCUGGGGAGUCGUCAACAGGCUGUGAGCCGGGGAUAUCCGAAUGGGGGAACCCGCCGGUCGUCAUGGAUCGGCACGGUGAUCUGAAUUCAUAGGGUCAUCGAGCGGGGAACUGAACCAUCUCAGUACCCGGAGGAAGAGAAAUCAAACGAGAUUCCCGGAGUAGCGGCGAGCGAAAAGGGAAGAGCCCAAACCAGCCCGAUGCGAUAGGGCGUAUCCGAUGUCAGGCUGGGGUUGUGGGGGUGUCAGGGGGCGUCAUACGCGAGGCCCCGCCUUGAGCACAGGGGACCGGAAGUGUCCUGGAACGGCAGACCAGAGCGGGUGAGAGUCCCGUACGGGCAGCCUGUGCGAAGAGGUGUUGACACACCCCGAGUACCACGGGGUACGAGCCGUCCUGUGGGAAGCUGGGAGGCCCACCUUCCAAGGCUAAAUACAGCAAUGCGACCGAUAGUGCACUAGUACCGUGAGGGAAAGGUGAAAAGCACCCUGAUUGAGGGGAGUGAAACAGAACCUGAAACCGUAUGUUUACAAGCUGUCAGCGUCCUGUGGCGACAUGGGACUAUGGCGUGCCUUUUGCAUAAUGAGCCGGCGAGUGAUCGUCAGAUGCGAGGUUAACGCAAGGAGCGGGAGCCGGAGCGAAAGCGAGUCUGAAGAGGGCGUCAAGUAUCUGGGGGUCGACCCGAAACCGAGUGAGCUAUCCAUGGUCAGGCUGCAGCCUUCGUAACAGGAGGUGAAGGGCCGAACCCGAGCAGGUUGAAAACUGCGGGGAGGAACUGUGGAUAGGGGUGAAAGGCCAAUCAAACUCGGAGAUAGCUGGUUCUCCUCGAAAUUGCUUUAGGGCGAGCCUCUGGUGGUGCGUGUUGGGGGUAGAGCACUGAUUGGGUUAAGGUCCUGCGAGGGAUACUGUCCCCAGUCAAACUCCGAAGUCCAGCAACGCGAGCCAGGGAGUGAGACAGUGGGGGAUAAGCUUCAUUGUCGAGAGGGAAACAGCCCAGACCAACCGCUAAGGUCCCCAACCGUUUGUUAAGUGGGCAAGGAUGUGGGUGCGCCGAGACAGCCAGGAGGUUGGCUUAGAAGCAGCCAUCCUUGAAAGAAAGCGUAAUAGCUCACUGGUCAAGUGAACCUGCGCCGACAAUAUACCGGGGCUAAAACAAACGACCGAAGCGUUGGGAUGAUCGGAAGGUCAUCAGUAGAGGAGCGUCCUGUGGGCAGAGAAGGGUCGCCGGGAGGCGGUCUGGAGCGUACAGGAGUGAAACUGCCGGCAUGAGUAACGAAAAAACAGGUGAGAGUCCUGUUCGCCGAAAUUCUCAGGGUUCCUCGGGCAAGGUGAGUCCGCCCAGGGUUAGUCGGGGCCUAAGUCGAGGCCGAGAGGCGUAGAUGAUGGGAAACCGGUGAAGAGUCCGGUACCACUGGUCAUGUGUUUGAGCGAGGGGGGUGACGUGUGGCGCGAGGCCGGCCCGUGAGUGGUAGAACGGGUGGAACCGCCGCGACGGGGCGUGAGGGAAAUCCCAUGCCGGAAAGUUAGAGCGGGAGACCGGGUUGUGAGACCAGAAGCGGUUGAGCGCGCGACACCAAGAAAAGCCCUCUAGUGAAUAUGACGGGUGCCCGUACCCGAAACCGACACAGGUAGAAACGGAAGUACUCCGAAGGCGUGUGAGCGAACCCUCGUUAAGGAACUCGGCAAAUUAACCUCGUAACUUCGGGAUAAGAGGUACCCGGGUACCGUGUAAGAGCGGGAGCGGGUGGCACAGAGCAGGCCCAGGCGACUGUUUACUAAAAACACAGGUCUCUGCGAAGUCGCAAGACGCGGUAUAGGGACUGACGCCUGCCCGGUGCCGGAAGGUUAAGUGGAGGGGUCAUGGACGCGAGUCCGGCAGCUCUCCGGUAAACGGCGGCCGUAACUAUAACGGUCCUAAGGUAGCGAAAUUCCUUGUCGGGUAAGUUCCGACCUGCACGAAUGGCGUAACGACUUGGGCGCUGUCUCAACGAGGGGCUCAGUGAAAUUGAACUCCCGGUGAAAAUGCCGGGUACCCACGACAAGACGGAAAGACCCCGUGCACCUUUACUAUAGCCUGGCGUUGGGUUUUAGGGGAAUUUGUGUAGGAUAGGUGGGAGACGGAGAAGCGGGUCCGCUAGGAUGCGUGGAGUCGUCCUUGAAAUACCACCCUGAUUGCUUUGAAAUCCUCACUGCCUGGUCGGAAGCGACCAGCAGGACCGGGCCAGGUGGGUAGUUUGACUGGGGCGGUCACCUCCUAAAGUGUAACGGAGGUGUGCGAAGGUGCCCUCAGGCUGUAUAGAAAUCAGUCGGCGAGUGCAAAGGCAGAAGGGCGCUUGACUGCGAGACCGACGGGUCGAGCAGAUGCGAAAGCAGGUCUUAGUGAUCCGGUGGUGCUGCGUGGCAGGGCCAUUGCUCAACGGAUAAAAGGUACGCCGGGGAUAACAGGCUGAUCCUGCCCGAGAGUUCCUAUCGACGGCGGGGUUUGGCACCUCGAUGUCGGCUCAUCGCAUCCUGGAGCUGAAGCAGGUUCCAAGGGUUUGGCUGUUCGCCAAUUAAAGCGGUACGCGAGCUGGGUUUAGAACGUCGUGAGACAGUUCGGUCCCUAUCUGUCGUGGGCGGAAGGAGAUUUGCGAGGGGCUGUCCUUAGUACGAGAGGACCGGGAUGGACACACCACUGGUGCACCAGUUGUUCCGCCAGGGGCAGCGCUGGGUAGCCACGUGUGGACGGGAGAACCGCUGAAAGCAUCUAAGCGGGAACCCCACCUCCAGAUGAGAUCUCCCGGGGGCGGAAGCCCUCCGAAGGUUCCU